AGAAUGAACGCUGGCGGCAUGCCUAACACAUGCAAGUCGAACGAGACCUUCGGGUCUAGUGGCGCACGGGUGCGUAACGCGUGGGAAUCUGCCCUUAGGUACGGAAUAACUCAGGGAAACUUGUGCUAAUACCGUAUGAUGUCGAGAGACCAAAGAUUUAUCGCCUAGGGAUGAGCCCGCGUAGGAUUAGCUAGUUGGUGGGGUAAAGGCCUACCAAGGCUACGAUCCUUAGCUGGUCUGAGAGGAUGAUCAGCCACACUGGGACUGAGACACGGCCCAGACUCCUACGGGAGGCAGCAGUGGGGAAUAUUGGACAAUGGGCGAAAGCCUGAUCCAGCAAUGCCGCGUGAGUGAAGAAGGCCUUCGGGUUGUAAAGCUCUUUUACCCGGGAAGAUAAUGACUGUACCGGGAGAAUAAACUCCGGCUAACUCCGCGCCAGCAGCCGC
Molecule: ribosomal RNA, 446 nt
Filed under: uncultured bacterium
Lineage: Bacteria
Description: SSU rRNA
Rfam family: Bacterial small subunit ribosomal RNA
Source: RNAcentral